CAAAAAAGAAACUUAGGAGUGGUCUCAAAUGCAAAAACUAGUUUAUAUUGGAUGCCCUAGUAACUUGCCUAUAAAGGCAUAGUUACUUGCAGCUGAAUUCAGAUUUCUGAAGAUCAAAACCCCUAAAAAAAAUGCUGAAAAUUUGAAAGAAUGCUGUUCAAUUGAAUUUUAGCUUGAUAAUAUAAAAUCUUUCUCUUCGUGAAUCAAUUUCCUAAAGGUCUGCACUUCAAAAUGGCUUGAGAUUUAGUCAUUAAGGCUAGGAUUUGGUGUUUGCUUGGUUGAAUGUGUGUUUGAAACUGGAAUCUAGUAUGCUGAAUUGUAUUUUCUGGUUUUGAGCUAUUUUGGUGCACUGUUCCGUUGGAUUUGAGUUCAACUCUGU
This 379-nucleotide long non-coding RNA is filed under the name Nicotiana benthamiana. RNAcentral's name for it is "long non-coding RNA (NBEN_LNC028821)". Lineage: Eukaryota; Viridiplantae; Streptophyta; Magnoliopsida; Solanales; Solanaceae. The record is from RNAcentral.